AACGAACGCUGGCGGCAUGCCUAACACAUGCAAGUCGAACGAGAUCUUCGGGUCUAGUGGCGCACGGGUGCGUAACGCGUGGGAAUCUGCCCUUGGGUUCGGAAUAACUUCGGGAAACUGAAGCUAAUACCGGAUGAUGACGUAAGUCCAAAGAUUUAUCGCCCAAGGAUGAGCCCGCAUAGGAUUAGCUAGUUGGUGAGGUAAAGGCUCACCAAGGCGACGAUCCUUAGCUGGUCUGAGAGGAUGAUCAGCCACACUGGGACUGAGACACGGCCCAGACUCCUACGGGAGGCAGCAGUGGGGAAUAUUGGACAAUGGGCGAAAGCCUGAUCCAGCAAUGCCGCGUGAGUGAUGAAGGCCUUAGGUUGUAAGCUCUUUGCCCGGGAUGAUAAUGACAGUACCGGGAGAAUAAGCUCCGGCUAACUCCGUGCCAGCAGCCGCGGUAAUGUGACUACUG
RNAcentral lists this ribosomal RNA (457 nucleotides) under uncultured bacterium. Its description in RNAcentral is "bacterial SSU rRNA". It matches the Rfam family "Bacterial small subunit ribosomal RNA", at positions 29 to 534 of the family's 1533-position model. The record is from RNAcentral.